This 5796-nucleotide long non-coding RNA is filed under the name Bemisia tabaci. RNAcentral's name for it is "lncRNA ENSSSA3NGG001140". The record is from RNAcentral. Lineage: Eukaryota; Metazoa; Arthropoda; Insecta; Hemiptera; Aleyrodidae.
UUCAAACACCGCAAACGAGAUACGUGGUUUGGUAGUUUCACCGUCGAUAUGGCUAAAGUUGCCGGGAUUAACCAUCCACCAAGAUUAGUUCUAGGGCAAGCAUGCGUCCCUGAAAUGGUUAGGAGGAACCAACAUCUAAAGCCAGGCAAUUGUGAUUGAAAAUUGUAAACUGUUCCUAAUUUUUUAUUUUUCAAAUUCCUAGGUUCUAGUUCAACAGUCCUCAGUCAGACAGCAGCUCAUUCCACAACAGCAAACACAACAACAGCAACUGCUGGUCCAGCCGGCAUCAUCAGCAUCUACUAAUGUAACUAAUUGGCAGCAGCAGUCACAGCAAGUGGUCCAACAGCAGCAAGUAGUGCAGCAAGUCGGUCAACAGCAAGUGGUUCAACAACAGCAGAUCGUGCAACAAGUUGUGCCCCAGCAGCAGGUUGUUCAACAGCAAGUUCCCCAACAGGGACAACCAGACCAGCAAUUACAAUUAAACCAUCCAACAACAGUCGUAUCGAACCAACAAAUGGCCCAAAUGACGUUGCAACGACAACAAUACAUUCAGCGAUUGCAGCAGAUCAAGCAGCAACAACAACAGCAACAGCAACAAGAGCAGCAACAAAGUGGAAACUCUGCUGUUAUGUAUUCGACCCAGGUGCAGUCCUCUCAGCAAAUUCAGUUAACACAGCAGUCUCAUCCUGUCCAGCAACAACAGCAACCUCCAGCUGUUCCUAUGGAAACCGAUCAGAUGACACCGCAAGAUGUUUUUAGUGUGAGUAAUUUUCUGAUUCUCCCUCUUUCUCUUACUGCAUCAUUUUGUCAUCCCUGAAUAGAUAUUUUCAUCAGUUUUUUAUUCAGAUUUCUCAAACUUGUAAUCUACUAUGGAAUGAAAUUUAUAAUGACUCAAUGACUCAUUAUCAUGCACCAAGUAGAAAAAGUGUGAAAACGUUAAAAGAUAGCACAAAAAGUUGCCUCGUUUUAAAUGAAACUAAUCGUAGGAAUACCAUUCUAGUCCAUCAAAAAAUUGAACAUGUGUUCAUUUCUCCCCAACGUUCAUAUAUCAUAAGUACUAAACAGUUUUUUUUCAGAUGAAGUGAGACUGUUUCAUUCCAAUUACAGUGUUGUAGAUCAACGUUAUCUACUGUCAGAAAGCUAAAAUGUGCUCCAUCUGCCCUCUUUGCUUAAAAAUUUGUCCGUGAAGUUGAUUUAAUCUAUAUCUUCCACCAGCAUAUUUUGAUCUCAGAUUUCUUAGAUCUGUGUAUUUUUUCAGUCAAUUUUAUCUUUUCCCUCCCUUUUUUUUUUUUUUUUUUUUUGUUCACUCAUUCAUCAACACAUCAUUUUGCCCUUGUAAGUCAUUUAUUUGUUCGAUAGUUCUUUCUCCUGCUCUGAAUUGCUGGUGACUUUCUUCCUUUGAGGAGGGAAGAGAAUUCUUCUCUGUUAAAACUUACAGAAUUUUAGCAGAAGAAGCGCUUAAGGGCAGGAUAAGGUGAAAAGUCUAUGGCAACAAGCUCUUUCAGCCCGCUGAUUGUCGAAACUUGUGUUAGGAUGACAAGACAUAGAAAUUCAUUUUAUUACUUAGUACAGGUAGAGCUAUGUUUUGUAUUAUCAUGUUGACCUAGCAAGGAAUAGUUUCAAAAGUCACUUUUGAGGUUAUUUAAAUAAGAUAGUUUAAAAUAAAACCUUGAAUCAACUUAUUUUGUCAAAACUUUUGAAAGGCUAGGAUUUUACCCAUGGUUGAUAUUGCCAAAGCGUGAACUAUACAAACCAUUUUUAAGCCAAAUUUCCAUGAGAAGUCAGGGAAAAGUCAAUUCGUAGGAUCAAAACCUUUAGUAAGUCAGAAAUUUUUAAAAUAAAUUGGAACCUGUUGUACUUCAUAAUAUUGAAGAACAGGAGAAAAUUCCCAGUAUCCUCGAUUGCACACAUGAUACGAAGCUCAAAUCUGUAUCAGUGGCUUAAGUCAGUGGUGUAAAUUGUAUUUUGUGCAUUGCACUUCUCACAUACUAAGAAAAAAUGCCGCAUGAGCCUUCAGACGUUGCCAUACUUCCUUUAAUUGAAAAAUAAUUUCCUGGAAAAAUGGUAAAUAUACUUCUUCCAAUUCUUCAGAAAUUUUUUUUGCAACUUAAGCUGAAAUAUUUGAAAAUAUCAAGGAAAAAUAUGCAUAACUUUUCAGAAAUUAAUGUUUUAUGAUGAAAAAUUAGGCAUUAUCUGAGGUUCAUACGGUGUUUUUCCUGAUUACAAGAGACUUGUCAUCAUUCAUUUUCCUAUGCUGGUUCAAUUUUUUUUUUAAUCAUGCACUUUUUUAUCACAUUAUGCAUUAUGUGUUGAACACUACGCUUGACCACAUUGGAUUGCCUUUUGAUACUUUUUGCCUAGCUCUCAGUCAUGCGACCCACUUCAUUUUUUUUUAGUUUGUAUAUAAUAUCACUGCUCAUCACUGUCAUAAAUGUAUAUAAUUUAGUACCGUCUCUCAAUAUCUUGGUGAAGUGAACUCUAAAGCUUAGUUGGUGGUUUAGUUGUUGCACUCAUUUCUCUCCUUCUCCUCUCAGAAGGUUAUUGGGCUUAGGAAGGACUGCUUUUCACUAAUCCUCGCUAACUAGGAGAGUCAAAUAGGAAUUUUUGUCCCUCUAAAAUCAUUCAUUUAUUUUAUUACCAAAUAUCCAUUGAGUUAAAGUCCUAGGAGAUUUUUAGGAUAACAUGAAUAAUUCGCUGAAACUUAAUUUAAUUAUCUUGACCAUUGGCAAUUUUACGAGUCAGCAACACUGUUUUUCUCCAUCCAUUGAAAAUUUCGAUAUUUCGAGAUAUCGAUCGAGAAUCGAUUGUUUUACAUACAUUUAAAUGGAGGAAAGAGAGUGUAACCAACUCUCAAGAAUUGCCAUUGACCUGGACGGAUUAACCUAGAAUCAGUUCAAAUGCAUUUCACGUUGCCAAAUUUGCCUGAAUGGUUUAUUGUUUGACGGAAUUAAACAACACAAUGCUUUGAAACUUGUUGUUAAUUGCUCGCAACUUAUACAGAAAGCACUCUCAAAAUUUCAAAUUGAAGUGUUGUUCAGUUUUCUGAUGAACAAUUGGACCAUGAGAGGAAAUUAGAUAAUGUGUGAUGCAGUCAGAUUGAUACUGGUUUGAUCCGUCCGAUAGUCCUUCUUUCUUCUCGUCAUAAUGAAAAAUUUCAGUAGUUUUUUUUUCAGCAAGGGAACAAAACGCAUCUCACCUAUUGUAUUUGGGAAACUAGGAAUGAAGAAAAGCGAGCGACACGAUGCACACGACGAACAGAAUAUAUUGAUAACAAGUACAAUUGCCCCAAGCAGGGCUGUCACCCUAGCAGGGGCUAAUCUCCCUGCUUACAGUACCAACCUAACGAUACAACAACUCUCCCCUAGUAGUUUUAAAAGUGGACACUUUUAAAAAUAGGACUAGGCAAUAGAGGAGAUAGCAAUUAUUGACCUAUCACAUACUAUAUUUGAUAGAAGUUUGAGAAAGGGGAAAAAAAAUUACAAGUUGAGUUCAAAAUAAUUAGGAUGGGCUGAAGCGAUUAGGUGGAUUGGAUUGUCUGAGUGACUGGCGCUGCGGCAACAGUAGACAUUCAUGAGUUUUGAGUUUGAGACUACGACCUCGACCACGAGAAAGAGUAGGUCGGACUAUGCUUGAAACUGGAGUAACAGGAACAUUUGCAUGUACAGGCUGUUCUUCAGGUGUAUAGAAGCCUAAAAAUUCUGGAGAACCGUCAUCGGAGCUUGGAGAAUUACCAGUUGAUCGAACUUCCAAAGUGCUGAGAGGAGGUGUAAGGGUAGCUUUAUUGGAAUUACUUUGCGUAGCUGGUAUAUCUUGAUGUGGAAGUUGAGCUUGAUUAUCGGAAGACUUAAGAGAAGAUUUUUGUCUGAAGGAUCUAUAACGAGUGUUGUAGGUGGGUGAAUUUGUAGUGGAGCUGCAAUUUUCAUUGAUGUAAAAAUGAACUUUCUUACCACAUGAACGUAAUUGGUCGAUGUGACGUUUAUGGAUUCGAUUGUCAUGUAGAAUUUCGUAGUGUAAUUCACCUAUUUUGGAUUGAACUAGGCCUUGAUACCAUCGACUUGCUCCAUUGUAAACUCGAAACAUCACUUUGUCUCCGAUUUGAAAUGACCGGUAUUUUGAUUUCAGAUUUUUCAGAAUGCAUUUUCCUGAAGGUUGAUGGUUAACUGCUGUGGAGAUGGAUGGAAUUUGGAUCGAUUGCCGUUUUGACGGGGUCACAAGAUCUAUUCUUGUUUAAUGGUUCGACCCAAAAAAAGUUGUGACGGAGGUUUACCAGUUGUUUGAUGGGGUGCUCGGUGAUAUCUUUGGAGAUAAUUAUCAAUCAUGGAUUGAAGAUUGUUCGGAGUCGCUCGGAGGUUGAGGAUUGCUUGUUUUACUGUAUGAACAUAACGUUCUACUUGCCCAUUUGUGGCUGGAUGAUAGGGCGCUGAAAAUUUGUGAAAGCGCACGCCCUGAGAUUUCAAAAAUUUCCUGAACAAAUCUGACUUAAACUGCGGACCGUUAUCACUAACAACCGUUUCUGGAAUACCAUAGAGUGCAAAAAGUGAAUUGAGAUGUUUCAUGGUUGCUUCCGAUGUCAUUUUGUUGGUUACAAAAACUUGAGUCCAUUUGGAGUAUGCAUCAACGACUAAUAGCAAGUAUUUACCAUGAAGCGGUCCCGCAUAGUCUAGGUGGAUGCGGUUCCAAGGUCCUUCUGGAUAUUCCCAGUGAUGCGUGUUACACUUUGCUGGCAUUUUUGCGUUUGAUAAACACGUAGUGCAGUUUUUUGCUGUUUGUUCAAUAUCUCUGUCAAUGUUCUUCCAAUAGACAAGUGAGCGGGCGAUACCCUUCAUUUUUGUUAUUCCUAUAUGACCAAGAUGGAGUUCUUUUAGGAAUUUUUCUCUUAAACUUGUGGGAACAACCACUCGAUGUCCGAACAUUAGGCAACCACAGGCUAAGGUGAAGUCUGUCUCAUUCCCUUUGAAACCAAGAGCUGGAAGGUCUUCAUUAUUUUCAAUUGCUUUUUUUAUUCUAGAAAGAUGAUGAUCCUUCUGUGUUUCGACAGCGAUUUCAUUCGCUGUAGUGGGUAAUUGGAGAAUUUGGUCAUGGACAAAGCGAUCAAAAUCAUCUUGAACAUUUUUAACAGAAUCACUGGGGUGACUAAUUCUAGAUAAAUAGUCAGCAUUUGCGUUAGCAGCAGAAGUUUUGAGCUUGAGGUCAUACGAGAAAUUUGAUAAGUAUGAAGCGUAAUUGUUAAGUCUUGAGAGUGAGAACUUUGGGAGAAGCGCAUCAGGUGCAAAUAUGUGCGAUACAGCUUUAUUAUCACAGUACAAGGUGAAGUGACGUCCGUAGACAUACUGAAAAAAUUUCUUCACGCCCCAUACAACGGCUAAUGCCUCUCUAUCGUUCUGGGGAUAAGCACUUUCUGUGGGGGAAAGCGCUCUGCUGGCAUAAGCGAUUGGUUUUUCUACAUUGCCUGGGAGUUGGUGCGAUAAGACCGCUCCCAAACCUGUAGGACUUGCAUCUACUGCCAAAAUUAGGGGCGUAUUCGGGUCAUAGGGUACAAGUACUCGUUCAGAGACCAAUUCGGUUUUAAGUUUUUGAAAUGAUUCAAGGCCUUCUUCGGUCCAAGAGAGUUCGCCGGAGCGAGCAAUCUUGAGCAUUUCACGGAGUGGGUGUGUCAGAGAAGAUAAGUGUGGAAUAAAUGAAUGGUAAUAAGUGACCUUACCAAUGAAGGAUUUAAUUCAUCAGAACUGGUCGGCAGUUGUGCUUGGAGAACAGCUUCGAUGUGCUUGUUUAGCUUGUGCAGGCCCUCGCCGUCAA